GACGAACGCUGGCGGCGUGCCUAAUACAUGCAAGUCGAACGCAGUGGGGACGGGUGAGUAACACGUGGGUAACCUCCCAUCAGAGGGGAUAACACUUGGAAACAGGUGCUAAACCGAUACUGAUGGAUGGCCCCGCGGUGCAUUAGCUAGUGGGUGAGGUAACGGCUCACAAAGGCAACGAUGCAUAGCCGACCGGGAAGAGUGGUCGGCCACACUGGGACUGGGAAGCAGCCCAGAGUCCUACGGGAGGCAGCAGUAGGAAAUCUUCGGCAAUGGACGAAAGUCUGACCGAGCAACGCCGCGUGAGGGAAGAAGGUUUUCGGAUCGUAAAACUCUGUUGUUAGAGAAGCGGUAUCUAACCAGAAGGCCACGGCUAACUACGUGCCAGCAGCCGCGGUAAUAC
This 403-nucleotide ribosomal RNA is filed under the name uncultured bacterium. RNAcentral's name for it is "partial 16S ribosomal RNA". It matches the Rfam family "Bacterial small subunit ribosomal RNA", at positions 28 to 526 of the family's 1533-position model. The record is from RNAcentral.